GCCAUAGUAGCUUAAUUAAAGCGUUGGCCUUGUAAGCCAAAGAAUGGGAGUGAAACUCACCCCUAUGGCA
This 70-nucleotide transfer RNA is filed under the name Leptobrachium boringii (Emei moustache toad). RNAcentral's name for it is "tRNA-Thr". It matches the Rfam family "tRNA". From Rfam's summary of the family: Transfer RNA (tRNA) molecules are approximately 80 nucleotides in length. The record is from RNAcentral. Lineage: Eukaryota; Metazoa; Chordata; Amphibia; Anura; Megophryidae.